This 450-nucleotide ribosomal RNA is filed under the name uncultured bacterium. Its description in RNAcentral is "partial 16S ribosomal RNA". It matches the Rfam family "Bacterial small subunit ribosomal RNA", at positions 354 to 796 of the family's 1533-position model. The record is from RNAcentral.
GUGGGGAAUAUUGGACAAUGGGCGAAAGCCUGAUCCAGCCAUGCCGCGUGUGUGAAGAAGGUCUUCGGAUUGUAAAGCACUUUAAGUUGGGAGGAAGGGCAGUAAGUUAAUACCUUGCUGUUUUGACGUUACCGACAGAAUAAGCACCGGCUAACUUCGUGCCAGCAGUCGCGGUAAUACGAAGGGUGCAAGCGUUAAUCGGAAUUACUGGGCGUAAAGCGCGCGUAGGUGGUUUUGUAAGUUGGAGGUGAAAUCCCCGGGCUCAACCUGGGAACUGCCUCCAAAACUGCAUGACUAGAGUACGGUAGAGGGUAGUGGAAUUUCCUGUGUAGCGGUGAAAUGCGUAGAUAUAGGAAGGAACACCAGUGGCGAAGGCGACUACCUGGACUGAUACUGACACUGAGGUGCGAAAGCGUGGGGAGCAAACAGGAUUAGAUACCCUAGUAGUCC